GAUGAAGAACGCAGCGAAAUGCGAUAAAUAAUGUGAAUUGCAGAAUUCAGUGAAUCAUCGAGUCUUUGAACGCACAUUGCGCCCCCUGGUAUUCCGGGGGACAUGCCUGUCCGAGCGUCAUUGCUGCCCUCAAGCACGGCUUGUGUGUUGGGCCCCCGUCCCCCCCUCCCGGGGGACGGGCCCGAAAGGCAGCGGCGGCACCGCGUCCGGUCCUCGAGCGUAUGGGGCUUCGUCACCCGCUCUUGUAGGCCCGGCCGGCGCUUGCCGACACAUCAAUCUUUUUUCCAGGUUGACCUCGGAUCAGGUAGGGAUACCCGCUGAACUUAAGCAUAUCAAUAAGCGGAGGA
This 347-nucleotide unclassified non-coding RNA is filed under the name soil metagenome. RNAcentral's name for it is "partial contains 5.8S ribosomal RNA, internal transcribed spacer 2, and large subunit ribosomal RNA". The stretch from base 1 to 120 matches the Rfam family "5.8S ribosomal RNA", at positions 35 to 154 of the family's 154-position model. The record is from RNAcentral.